Molecule: ribosomal RNA, 497 nt
Filed under: uncultured bacterium
Lineage: Bacteria
Description: partial 16S ribosomal RNA
Rfam family: Bacterial small subunit ribosomal RNA
Source: RNAcentral
GAUGAACGCUGGCGGCGUGCCUAAUACAUGCAAGUCGAGCGAACAGACGAGGAGCUUGCUCCUCUGACGUUAGCGGCGGACGGGUGAGUAACACGUGGAUAACCUACCUAUAAGACUGGGAUAACUUCGGGAAACCGGAGCUAAUACCGGAUAAUAUAUUGAACCGCAUGGUUCAAUAGUGAAAGACGGUUUUGCUGUCACUUAUAGAUGGAUCCGCGCCGCAUUAGCUAGUUGGUAAGGUAACGGCUUACCAAGGCGACGAUGCGUAACCGACCUGAGAGGGUGAUCGGCCACACUGGAACUGAGACACGGUCCAGACUCCUACGGGAGGCAGCAGUAGGGAAUCUUCCGCAAUGGGCGAAAGCCUGACGUAGCAACGCCGCGUGAAUGAUGAAGGUCUUCUGAUCGUAAAACGCUGUUAUUAGGGAAGAACAAAUGUGUAAGUAACUAUGCACGUCUUGACGGUACCUAAUCAGAAAGCCACGGCUAACUACGUG